CAGCCGCCGCGGUAAUACGUAGGGUGCGAGCGUUAAUCGGAAUUACUGGGCGUAAAGCGUGCGCAGGCGGUUAUACAAGACAGAUGUGAAAUCCCCGGGCUCAACCUGGGACCUGCAUUUGUGACUGUAUAGCUAGAGUACGGUAGAGGGGGAUGGAAUUCCGCGUGUAGCAGUGAAAUGCGUAGAUAUGCGGAGGAACACCGAUGGCGAAGGCAAUCCCCUGGACCUGUACUGACGCUCAUGCACGAGAGCGUGGGGAGCAAACAGGAUUAGAUACCCCGGUAGUCCCUGUCUCUUAUAC
RNAcentral lists this ribosomal RNA (301 nucleotides) under uncultured bacterium. RNAcentral describes it as "partial 16S ribosomal RNA". It matches the Rfam family "Bacterial small subunit ribosomal RNA", at positions 509 to 807 of the family's 1533-position model. The record is from RNAcentral.